This 497-nucleotide ribosomal RNA is filed under the name uncultured bacterium. Its description in RNAcentral is "partial 16S ribosomal RNA". It matches the Rfam family "Bacterial small subunit ribosomal RNA", at positions 28 to 507 of the family's 1533-position model. The record is from RNAcentral.
GAUGAACGCUGGCGGCGUGCCUAAUACAUGCAAGUCGAGCGAACAGACGAUGAGCUUGCUCCUCUGACGUUAGCGGCUGACGGGUGAGUAACACGUGGAUAACCUACCUAUAAGACUGGGGUAACUUCGGGAAACCGGAGCUAAUACCGGAUAAUAUAUUGAACCGCAUGGUUCAAUAGUUAAAGACGGUUUUGCUGUCACUUAUAGAUGGAUCCGCGCCGCAUUAGCUAGUUGGUAAGGUAACGGCUUACCAAGGCGACGAUGCGUAGCCGACCUGAGAGGGUGAUCAGCCACACUGGAACUGAGACACGGUCCAGACUCCUACGGGAGGCAGCAGUGGGGAAUAUUGCGCAAUGGGCGCAAGCCUGACGGAGCCACACCGCGUGAGUGAUGAAGGUCUUCGGAUCGUAAAACUCUGUUAUUAGGGAAGAACAAAUGUGUAAGUAACUAUGCACGUCUUGACGGUACCUAAUCAGAAAGCAACGGCUAACUACGUG